CCGAGAUGCCCGCCUGCAGAGCCAGGUCGCUUCCGGGCGGGUGGACAGGGCCAGGUGAUGAAUUGGGAGUGGGAGCAGAAAAGGGGCGUCCGACCAGACCCAAAGCACCUGUGCGCAGCGCUGGACACAGUAACGGCGGCGGAGCUUCAGCUCAUCUUGCAGCUUUCCCGAGGCAGCGGCCGCGGCGGUGGAGCAGGAAAUGUUCUAAAGCUCUGUACUGAAACCACAUUAUAGCAUUGACCUCUCUUCUGAUUUUGAACAUUGAAACAAAUAAAAAUGAUCCAACAAAUAAAGAGAAAUACAUUCAUGAUGCAAAUCACUUAACUUCUCACUGUAAACCUUCAGGCAGGCUGGAUAUUCCAUAACAGUGGAGGAAAUGACAAGACACUUCAUCUGGAAGCAAAGUCAGGAGACCCAAGUUGUACCCUCCACCCCCCACAAUUGUUUUUGAAUUUUAGUGAAGCCCUUUUGCAGAAUUGCACAGUAAAUGGCAAAAAGGAAUGCCUUUCACUAUGAAUAGUAAAGAAAACCUCAAUGUGUCAUAAUUUGAACAAUCACACUGAUGCGAGUUUUUAUCCUCUCUGUUUUGUCUUACCCACCCCCAAUGCUUCCAGCACUCAACCACAGGAUAUGGGGUGCAUCUUUGGAGCAGACUGUAAUCAGACAUUCUCCCCAAAAUAUACCCAACCCUCACCCAAGGCCCUCAGAGCCUAUUUGACAAGACAGAAUCCACAAAGAAAAGAUGAGGUGUGAGUGAGUGAGUGAGUGUGUGAAGAAUCCACCUACCCCUCCAGUGCCAAGAUUCAAGAAGGGGAUUCAGAGUGAAAAUAAAAGAU
Long non-coding RNA from Talpa occidentalis (Iberian mole), 836 nucleotides. RefSeq lists it as uncharacterized. Lineage: Eukaryota; Metazoa; Chordata; Mammalia; Eulipotyphla; Talpidae. The record is from RefSeq and is a predicted model, not a curated record. The transcript is spliced from 3 exons.